RNAcentral lists this ribosomal RNA (65 nucleotides) under Pleosporales sp. RNAcentral's name for it is "partial 18S ribosomal RNA". The record is from RNAcentral. Lineage: Eukaryota; Fungi; Ascomycota; Dothideomycetes; Pleosporales.
UCUGGGUCAUUAGGGAAGUAAAAGUUGUAACAAGGUUUCCGUAGGGAACCUGGGAAGGAUCAUUA